This 465-nucleotide ribosomal RNA is filed under the name uncultured Lactobacillus sp. Its description in RNAcentral is "bacterial SSU rRNA". It matches the Rfam family "Bacterial small subunit ribosomal RNA", at positions 338 to 795 of the family's 1533-position model. The record is from RNAcentral. Lineage: Bacteria; Bacillati; Bacillota; Bacilli; Lactobacillales; Lactobacillaceae.
CCUACGGGAGGCAGCAGUAGGGAAUCUUCCACAAUGGGCGCAAGCCUGAUGGAGCAACACCGCGUGAGUGAAGAAGGGUUUCGGCUCGUAAAACUCUGUUGUUGGAGAAGAACGUGCGUAAGAGUAACUGUUUACGCAGUGACGGUAUCCAACCAGAAAGUCACGGCUAACUACGUGCCAGCAGCCGCGGUAAUACGUAGGUGGCAAGCGUUAUCCGGAUUUAUUGGGCGUAAAGCGAGCGCAGGCGGUUGCUUAGGUCUGAUGUGAAAGCCUUCGGCUUAACCGAAGAAGUGCAUCGGAAACCGGGCGACUUGAGUGCAGAAGAGGACAGUGGAACUCCAUGUGUAGCGGUGGAAUGCGUAGAUAUAUGGAAGAACACCAGUGGCGAAGGCGGCUGUCUGGUCUGCAACUGACGCUGAGGCUCGAAAGCAUGGGUAGCGAACAGGAUUAGAUACCCGUGUAGUC